Molecule: non-coding RNA, 203 nt
Filed under: Ardenticatenaceae bacterium
Lineage: Bacteria; Bacillati; Chloroflexota; Ardenticatenia; Ardenticatenales; Ardenticatenaceae
Description: 6S RNA
Rfam family: 6S / SsrS RNA
About the family: E. coli 6S RNA was the first non coding RNA to be sequenced, but its function was unknown until recently.
Source: RNAcentral
CUUGCCCUGCUGUGUUGGUGAUGAAUCAAAACGGUUGAGCCAACACUUAACUAUAGGGAAUUGCCAAUACGCCGAGGGGAUGUAGUAGCUACAACGGACAGUGGAUACUGCCCGUUGAUCGGUGAGGCAGAGUCUCGCGACAAAAUUCCCACCUGCAUCCGCAGGUUCAAACUCUGAGGUUCACACGGCAUGGUGGGGCGCCU